Molecule: non-coding RNA, 287 nt
Organism: Taeniopygia guttata (zebra finch)
Lineage: Eukaryota; Metazoa; Chordata; Aves; Passeriformes; Estrildidae
Source: RefSeq, a predicted model, not a curated record
GCCAGCUCUUGGGGUUGGAGAGUGGCGCCAGACUUGGGGAUAGUGUCUUCUGCAGACUGUGCCCCACUGAAGAUCCCAACACCUGCUGGGAACCAGGAGAAAACUCAGUAGCUGCCACCACAGGAGCCGCCGGUGGAAAAAAAUCCAUUCAGUGCCUGAGAAAGAGCCUGAGGUUAGAAGCAAAGCCAUUACAAACAAUUUUAUCCAAAACUGGACAAAUCUUCUCCUAACAGUUUAUGCAUGGACACUGCAUACAGAAGUUAUAAUAAGUAUUUAUAAAGGUUUUG